This 292-nucleotide ribosomal RNA is filed under the name uncultured bacterium. RNAcentral describes it as "partial 16S ribosomal RNA". It matches the Rfam family "Bacterial small subunit ribosomal RNA", at positions 505 to 796 of the family's 1533-position model. The record is from RNAcentral.
GUGCCAGCAGCCGCGGUAAGACGAACCGUGCGAACGUUGUUCGGAAUCACUGGGCUUAAAGGGCGCGUAGGCGGGCCGUCAAGUCCGGGGUGAAAUCCUCCAGCCUAACUGGAGAAGCGCCUCGGAGACUGGCGGCCUCGAGGAGGGUAGGGGCAAGCGGAACUAUGGGUGGAGCGGUGAAAUGCAUUGAUAUCCAUAGGAACUCCGGUGGCGAAGGCGGCUUGCUGGACCCUUUCUGACGCUGAGGCGCGAAAGCCAGGGGAGCGAACGGGAUUAGAUACCCCAGUAGUCC